This 458-nucleotide ribosomal RNA is filed under the name uncultured bacterium. RNAcentral describes it as "bacterial SSU rRNA". It matches the Rfam family "Bacterial small subunit ribosomal RNA", at positions 28 to 507 of the family's 1533-position model. The record is from RNAcentral.
GACGAACGCUGGCGGCGUGCCUAACACAUGCAAGUCGAACGGGGCACCUUCGGGUGCUUAGUGGCGAACGGGUGAGUAACGCGUGAGAAACCUGCCUUUCAGUGGGGGACAACAGUUAGAAAUGACUGCUAAUACCGCAUAAUGUAUUUUGGGGGCAUCCCCGAAAUACCAAAGCUUUAUGUGCUGAAAGAUGGUCUCGCGUCUGAUUAGCUAGAUGGCGGGGUAACGGCCCACCAUGGCGACGAUCAGUAGCCGGUCUGAGAGGAUGAACGGCCACAUUGGGACUGAGAUACGGCCCAGACUCCUACGGGAGGCAGCAGUGGGGAAUAUUGGGCAAUGGGGGAAACCCUGACCCAGCAACGCCGCGUGAAGGAAGAAGGCCCUCGGGUUGUAAACUUCUUUUACCAGGGACGAAGAACGUGACGGUACCUGCAGAAAAAGCAACGGCUAACUACGUG